This is a long non-coding RNA of Lactuca sativa (garden lettuce), 2269 nucleotides long. RefSeq lists it as uncharacterized. Lineage: Eukaryota; Viridiplantae; Streptophyta; Magnoliopsida; Asterales; Asteraceae. The record is from RefSeq and is a predicted model, not a curated record.
UGAAAACCUUCACCUUUUUCGUCGUUUACCUUUAUAUACUCCAUAUCCCAGUAUCCCAUCCAAUUCCGUUUUCGUCGUUUACUUUUAUCUGAUUGUUUCUGCCACUACAACCCACCUAAAUCCGGCUACGAGAAACAUCAAUUGCUCUGUGAUCUUCGUUUCAUGCGUUUCUUCUUAUUUUCUUCCGGCCACUGAAAUCUGGCGACCAGAUCUCCAGAAGCACCAUCAUCUUUCUCCGGCCACUUAAAUCCAGCUAGUAAAAUCUUUCUCCAUUUUCCAUGCCGUUGGAGAUGUUCUUAUUCUUUCCAACAGAUCUGUGUGUUCAUGAGGUACUAGGACGAGAACAUCUCGAUCGCAUGAGGGCGGUUGGUCACGUUAUCGGCCUAAAACAAUCAAUGAUUAUAAGACAAAAAAGAAAGCUCGUGAGUUACCCAAUUUUGAACAGAUGCAAGAGAAGCUAGAGACAAGACGAGGAUGUCUAAUAACAACUUUGAUGACAAGAUCAAAGAUAAGUUGAAUAUUCAUAUGGCAGAACAAUUAGUGCCCAUGGUGAUUGUUGUGUUGAAGCAACAUAAGAUAACUGAUAUAGUGGAAGACACAAAUUUUUCUGGGGGAAGACAACCGGUGUUGGAUCGAAGACAUCCAUGACAUUGUUGGAUGAGUUUCAUAAGAUAAUUGAAGUCUUCGGCUAUGAUUUGAUGCUACCAUAUAGCAUAGUACACCCAUCAUUACCAAAGAAACCGUAUUCUCUUUUUGAGAUGGGGUAAUUCAUACGCUUCCUCUAAAAUCAGUUCACGUGAGGGUAUCGGUCGAUAUUAUCUAUGGAGAUCAUCAUUUUAUCCUUCUUCCAGUCUCCCCAAUUAAAGGGUAUAUAAUUUGGAGCAGGCACUUCAUAGUUUUAUUAAGUGGCCUCGAGAUUCUAUUAUUCUCAUUAAUAUACAUUAAUAUCUAAUCACAUGCAUUUAUGACUAUUUAAUAAACUCGAUUCUAGUUAUGCAGGAAAAAAAAAACCUCUCAUUGAACCACUACCAAUGUCGACCUAAGCUAAUCCUAUUCUUUAUGACCAAGUAGUCACUCAAACUUAUAAUUGUGGAAAGGUAUUAUUUUCAUUUACAUUUAAAGAGAUGAUAGGGGAUGAAGCGAAAAAUAAGAUACAAAAAAAGUUAUACCAAACGGUGUAGAAAACUAUGUUGCCAAAGAAACCUGAGGGUAGAUCGAUGAUGCAUGGAUGGUUUAAGAGCCACAACAUUCCGGAGUUGUUUACCAUUGUGUCUGAAUCCGGGAUCUUCAACAUUGCGAGUGUUGAAACCGUGAGUAACUCAGAUGUUGAAUGUUGAAUAACUUGAUAUUAGUUGUAUUCUAUGGUAUCAAAUGUAAGUACCUUAAGAUUUACAGUAUUCAUGUUUCAUAUUAUUUUACCAUUAUAAUAUAUAUUGUGUUUUUUCGGAAUGCUACAUUCUAUGGUACCAAGAAUGGAUAAUAAAUGUGCUUUUAUAAACCCACAACAUAUCACGUUCAAGAGAUGUGAAUACGAUAAUAGUGGUGAAACAAAUAAUAUCGUCAGUGAUCUUGUUGAUGUGAUGAAUUUCCAUCGGGAAAAACAUUUUUUUUUUCUUGCACCAUAUUGGGAAAGGUAUGAUAUUCUAAUAUCUUUAUUGUUAUAUAAUAUUUUUAAUCAAAAGUUGUUUAUAUUUAAUUUGUUGAAUCUUUAUUAAAAAACAUUGGAUGUUGAUAGUGAUUUGUGCUCAUCAAUAUAAAAGCUACAUUUUGGAUUCCGCCCGAGGGACAAAGACAUUGAAAGACUACACAAUAGUUGAAUAUGUGAAUAAGGUUGUUACAUGGUUUAAAAAAACAAAAACCGACAGAUCACGUUUGUGUCCAAAAAUCUCCUCAAGGUAAUUUAGAUAUUGUAUGUCCCACACAAGUAGACCCUUUAUAUACUUAUGCAGUUGUUAAUGGCUGGAAUAUCUUAUAAUUUGAGUUUUCUUUAUAUUGUUCCUAUUAAAAAUUAUUUGGGAUUUUAAGAGUAUGAAUCCUAAGUUUUCUUAUUUUUGUAUGCAUACAAUGGAUAAGCCACAAAAGGGAAAUAGAGAUCAUAGGUGUGACAUUCAACAAAUUUAAGAAUGCUUUAAUGUUUAAUGAACUAGGUAUGCAAAUGAUAGCCUUUUAGAUUGUAUAGACUAUGGAUAAGUCUGAAAGAAUAUUAAUGUUUUUAUGUUUAAUGAACUAAGUGGUUCAUUUUAACUGUUUUUUCUAUGUCUGGAAAUGA